UUUCUUUGGAAAGAUAUAGAAGUGUCGGGGAAAUAAUAAUAUUUUGAUAUUUAGUAUCAAGUAAUUUUCUUUCCACUAAGUUCUUCGAGGAUAAGCUCGAAGAAAAGUUAAGAUAUUUAUAAGCUUAAUUUAUUGUGUGGGCUUAAGAUUGGCCACCACAAGAGUUUGUUAUAAAAUAAUUAUAGAAGAGCAUAAAAUCUAUUUAAUCUUAUCUAACUUCUUACAAAGAUAAAAGCUUUAAUCCUCAAAAGAUUUAUACCUAUGCUAGAAUGAGUAUUAUAGUCAAUUUAAGAAAAAAAGUUAUCUAUUAUUUUUUAUAAAAAGUAUAUCUUAAAAUCUAAAUAGUAAGAAGGAACUCGGCAAAUUAAGUUGCCCUGCCUGUUUAUCAAAAACAUGGCUCUUUGAACAAUUGAGUAUAAAGAGUCGAGCCUGCCCAGUGAAUUUUCAACGGCCGCGGUACUCUGACCGUGCAAAGGUAGCAUAAUCAUUUGCCUUAUAAUUGAAGGCUAGUAUGAAUGGUUUGACGAGAGCAACACUGUCUCCUUACUACUUUCUAGAACUUAACUUUUAGGUGAAGAGGCCUAAAUUUUAUUGAAGGACAAGAAGACCCCGUCGAGCUUAAAAGACACUGUAGAAGUUAAUAUAUCUAUAAAUAAAUAUUCUAUUAAGCUUUUUAGUUGGGGCGACUAAGGAACAAUUAAAGCUUCUUAUUAAUGUUAUACAAUCAUGUAUAGAUCCGACAUUGUCGAUCAAAGAAAUUAGUUACCGCGGGGAUAACAGCAUAAUCUCUCUUAAGAGAUCUAAUCGAAAGAGGGGGUUGUGACCUCGAUGUUGGACUAGAAUAUCCUAAAGAUGCAGAAG
RNAcentral lists this ribosomal RNA (861 nucleotides) under Esperiana esperi. RNAcentral's name for it is "partial large subunit ribosomal RNA". It matches the Rfam family "Archaeal large subunit ribosomal RNA", at positions 1483 to 2630 of the family's 2987-position model. Lineage: Eukaryota; Metazoa; Mollusca; Gastropoda; Melanopsidae. The record is from RNAcentral.